CUUGGUGAUUAUAGCGGUUAAAAACACGAGAUAACAUUUCGAACUCUGACGUUAAGUUCUCCAGCGCCGAUGGUACUGCUUUGUGGGAGAGUAGGUCGUUGCCAAGC
This 107-nucleotide ribosomal RNA is filed under the name Anaplasmataceae bacterium. The record is from RNAcentral. Lineage: Bacteria; Pseudomonadati; Pseudomonadota; Alphaproteobacteria; Rickettsiales; Anaplasmataceae.